Molecule: ribosomal RNA, 118 nt
Filed under: Fervidicoccus fontis
Lineage: Archaea; Thermoproteati; Thermoproteota; Thermoprotei; Fervidicoccales; Fervidicoccaceae
Also listed under: 1 other name
Source: RNAcentral
UGGGCCGGCCAUAGCGGCCGGGCAACACCCGGUCUCGUCAGAUCCCGGAAGUUAAGCCGGCCGCGUUGGGGCUUCCGUGAGCGCCGAGAGGGCUCGCAGGGACCCCAAGCCGGUGCCA